CCUACGGGUGGCAGCAGUGAGGAAUAUUGGUCAAUGGACGAGAGUCUGAACCAGCCAAGUAGCGUGAAGGAUGACUGCCCUAUGGGUUGUAAACUUCUUUUAUAAAGGAAUAAAACGAGGCACGUGUGCCUUUUUGCAUGUACUUUAUGAAUAAGGAUCGGCUAACUCCGUGCCAGCAGCCGCGGUAAUACGGAGGAUCCGAGCGUUAUCCGGAUUUAUUGGGUUUAAAGGGAGCGUAGAUGGGUUGUUAAGUCAGUUGUGAAAGUUUGCGGCUCAACCGUAAAAUUGCAAUUGAUACUGGCAGUCGUGAGUACAGUUGAGGUAGGCGGAAUUCGUGGUGUAGCGGUGAAAUGCUUAGAUAUCACGAAGAACCCCGAUUGCGAAGGCAGCUUACUAAACUGUGACUGACAUUGAUGCUCGAAAGUGUGGGUAUCAAACAGGAUUAGAUACCCUAGUAGU
Molecule: ribosomal RNA, 459 nt
Filed under: uncultured bacterium
Lineage: Bacteria
Description: partial 16S ribosomal RNA
Rfam family: Bacterial small subunit ribosomal RNA
Source: RNAcentral